RNAcentral lists this ribosomal RNA (450 nucleotides) under uncultured bacterium. Its description in RNAcentral is "partial 16S ribosomal RNA". It matches the Rfam family "Bacterial small subunit ribosomal RNA", at positions 354 to 796 of the family's 1533-position model. The record is from RNAcentral.
GUGGGGAAUAUUGGACAAUGGGCGAAAGCCUGAUCCAGCCAUGCCGCGUGUGUGAAGAAGGUCUUCGGAUUGUAAAGCACUUUAAGUUGGGAGGAAGGGCAAUAAGUUAAUACCUUGCUGUUUUGACGUUACCGACAGAAUAAGCACCGGCUAACUUCGUGCCAGCAGCCGCGGUAAUACGAAGGGUGCAAGCGUUAAUCGGAAUUACUGGGCGUAAAGCGCGCGUAGGUGGGUUUGUAAGUUGGAGGUGAAAUCCCCGGGCUCAACCUGGGAACUGCCACCAAAACUGCAUGACUAGAGUACGGUAGAGGGUAGUGUAAUUUCCUGUGUAGCGGUGAAAUGCGUAGAUAUAGGAAGGAACACCAGUGGCGAAGGCGACUACCUGGACUGAUACUGACACUGAGGUGCGAAAGCGUGGGGAGCAAACAGGAUUAGAUACCCCUGUAGUCC